UUUUAUUACUGGAUAACAUUUUGAACCGCAUGGUUCGAAAUUGAAAGGCGGCUUCGGCUGUCACUUAUGGAUGGACCCGCGUCGCAUUAGCUAGUUGGUGAGGUAACGGCUCACCAAGGCAACGAUGCGUAGCCGACCUGAGAGGGUGAUCGGCCACACUGGGACUGAGACACGGCCCAGACUCCUACGGGAGGCAGCAGUAGGGAAUCUUCCGCAAUGGACGAAAGUCUGACGGAGCAACGCCGCGUGAGUGAUGAAGGCUUUCGGGUCGUAAAACUCUGUUGUUAGGGAAGAACAAGUGCUAGUUGAAUAAACUGGCACCUUGACGGUACCUAACCAGAAAGCCACGGCUAACUACGUGCCAGCAGCCGCGGUAAUACGUAGGUGGCAAGCGUUAUCCGGAAUUAUUGGGCGUAAAGCGCGGGCAGGUGGUUUCUUAAGUCUGAUGUGAAAGCCCACGGCUCAACCGUGGAGGGGUCAUUGGAAACUGGGAGACUUGACUGCAGAAGAGGAAAGUGGAACUCUAUGUGUAGCGGGUGAAUAUGCGUAGAGAUAUGGGAGGAACACCAGUGGCGAAAGCGUGUUUCUUGUCUGUGACCUGACACUCGAGGGGCUAAGCGUCGGGAAGUGAACCUGCAUUACAUACCCUGGGCGAGUCCACCACACCCAGCGAUGAAUGGCUAGCGAUCGAGAGGGAAUCGUCCACUUCCCUUGUAGAGCUAACCACAUUGAGAAAUCCGCCCUGCGCGAGCUGCGGAGGGAGGACGCUGGAAGCUCUAAAAGAAAUAGAUGAGGAGACGCG
Molecule: ribosomal RNA, 802 nt
Filed under: Bacillus sp. Rice-C
Lineage: Bacteria; Bacillati; Bacillota; Bacilli; Caryophanales; Bacillaceae
Description: bacterial SSU rRNA
Rfam family: Bacterial small subunit ribosomal RNA
Source: RNAcentral